AGUCGUUGCAAGUUCCCGAUAGGCUCUGGAAAAAGGCCAGAGAUUCCUUGUAACCGAAUAAAAAUUAGGGGGAAUAUUUAUAAUG
Molecule: small RNA, 85 nt
Filed under: Enterococcus sp.
Lineage: Bacteria; Bacillati; Bacillota; Bacilli; Lactobacillales; Enterococcaceae
Description: SAM-III sequence
Rfam family: SAM-III riboswitch aptamer (SMK box)
Source: RNAcentral